UAACCAUGCUCCAUAGGUAGACAAUGUGUU
This 30-nucleotide non-coding RNA is filed under the name Rattus norvegicus (Norway rat). The record is from RNAcentral. Lineage: Eukaryota; Metazoa; Chordata; Mammalia; Rodentia; Muridae.